This 7875-nucleotide long non-coding RNA is filed under the name Malus domestica (apple). Its description in RNAcentral is "long non-coding RNA (MDOM_LNC017369)". Lineage: Eukaryota; Viridiplantae; Streptophyta; Magnoliopsida; Rosales; Rosaceae. The record is from RNAcentral.
GUUUGAUUUUCUUGCCCCUGAGACAAGUUAGUUAGUAACUUAAGGAGUGUAUCAUUGUCUACAGAUGUACCUGAAGCAUUUGGGGCAGAUUGUUAUGGAAAAUGUGGGGGUGCGUAUGGCUUGGUGAAAAACCCCGGGGGUUGUUGCCUAAAGCCUCCUUGUUGUUGGGGUUGUUGGGCCUCCCUCCACUUGAAGUUUGGAUGGUCUCUCCAACCUGGAUUAUAUGUGUUCGAAUAUGGAUCAUUCCUCGGUUGGUUUUGGCCUUGAAACCCAAUUGCGUUAGCGCUCUCCCAUACACCAUUCUCAAUGAGUUAAGGGCAUUUUUCCGAGGCAUGUCCUUGGAUAGAACAUAUGCCACACACCAUUGGCCCUUGCAUUCUCAUUCCUUCAGCCAUCUGAGACACAAUGGAAGUAAGAUUAGCUAAUUGUGAAUGAAUGUCGGAUGUGGAACUUACCUCAUGCACUUGUUGCCGUGGGGGUCCUCUUUGGCCAACGCCUUCGUAUUGUUGAGCGUUCAAUGCUCGAUUAGCAAUCAAGAUCUUGGCAGCCAUGGGUGUUUUGUCCACCAAUGCUCCAUCCACCGAGGCAUCGAGCAUUUGACGUUCAAGUGGUAGGAGCCCCUCGUAAAAGUAUUGUAGAAGUAACUCCUCCUUCAUCUGAUGCUGUGGACAAGAAGCAACAAGUGAUUUAAAACGUUCAUAAUAAGUAGGAAAAGACUCACCUUCUUCUUGCUGAAUACCACUAAUCUUUUUACGUAGGAGAAUGAUUCGAGAAGUUGGGAAAAACUUCUCCAAAAAUGCCCUCUUCAUACUUUCCCAAGAUGUGACAGUUCCAGGAGCUAACUCGUACAACCAAUCUUUGGCUUUAUCCAUUAAAGAGAAUGGAAAAGCCUUCAUCUUCAAAAUACUUCCGUCGACGUUAACCGGAGUCAUGCUUGAACACACCACUUCAAAUUCUUUUAAAUGCUUGUUCGGAUCCUCUAUGGACAGCCCAUGGUAUUUUGGAAUAUGGUGGAGCAAAAUUGACUUUAACUCGAACUCUUCAAUCUUACCUUGCGCAGCCGUGGGAUAUUGGAUACACAAAGGUGCGGCAUUAUCUAAUCCCGAAGCGGCGAGCUCCUUGAGUGUUCGGUUGUCCAUGGCCAUGUCUUGCACUACUUCUCCCACUUGUGCCAUGGGUAUCUCCUCCUCUUCUGGAACUUGUUCUUCAAGGUUAGGUUCCCGGCUAAGUGGGUUGGACUCUUGUUGGUUCCUUCUUCGUCUCAAAGUUCUCUCAAAAUCGUCGUCAAAGUCCAAAAUAUGCUCACGAACAGGGCGGGAACUUCGAGUCAUGCACUAGUACCUUAAAAACAAAGAAGCAAAACAAGGUCAGAAACUUCAACAAAAUAAAUGAAUGAAAAGAAACAAUCAAAGGGAUUAGCAAAGUUGCUAAUCCCCGGCAACGGCGCCAAAAAUUUGAUGCGAAAUAUAUAAGCACACAAAUUAAACCCUCUUUUUAUCAAAUGUAGUAAAGUAUGUAAGUAGGGAUCGUUCUAGGCCGGGGAUUAGGAGGGAUUGCUAAAUCACUUGGAAACUGACUUGAAAACGUAAAAACAAAGUUUAAAACACUAAACUAGACUCAAAGAAUGCAAAACUAUACUUUAAAAUACUAAGAUAAACAAAAAGAUUCAAAACAGCAACCAAAGACUUAAAACUGCCUUAAAAACACUUUCUGUGCAGUUUUGGGACUCUAACACAAACUUGGACGAAUUUUGGUUUUCUAAUGAACUAAAACACUUAAAAACAUAAUCUAAGACAAGUCCUAAUUAAUAUGACUCAAAGAAAUAAGAUGGGGUUGAUUUUGGACGAAAAUAAUUAAAUUAAGACAAGAACAAAGUAAACAGAUUCUUAGACAAAUUUGGGUGAAUCAAAACACUUAAAAACACAAACUAAAGUGAUUACUAACUAAUCUAACACUUUGAAAUAAAUGGGAGAUUGGUUCUUGACGAAUUUGAAAACAAAACAAACUUUGUAAAACAAAACAGAUUGUAAAUGAAUUUGAAUGAAACUUAUGGAUGGAAGGCUAGCUAGGAGGUUCUUCUCCACACAUGUCACACUUGCAUACAAAACGAUUUCCAGUUGCUUUUCGAUAAACUAUGAAUACUCAACGCCCCAAAUUAACCUUGAAUUACACUAAUUAACCCUUAGUUUUUCCACAAGUUAUUGGGUUGGAUGAUUGCAUACGACAACCCAAAACAUUCCCUACAAGUUCCCUACAUGAAUUGCAUAAUAGAGAUACAAGCAAGAAUCAUUAAGUUCUAUGAAAAACAUAAGCAUUGACGAGGCACUCGUUACUAUGAUUUGCAUGAAACUUAUGCCAAUAAUUUACUUAACGUGAUUGUGACUAGCAACCUUCACUACUUGUGAAUAUAAGUUCAUAACGAUUAGGUGAAACUCCCUUAUAUUCUAGCGUCAAAUUCAUGCAUGAAAAUUAAGCGUGCACUCUCAACCAACAUACACAAAUCAGUUUUUAUACGAACGGAUAAGUAAAUUGAAUUCACAACUUAUGAAUCACAACUGGAUGUAAUUAAAUCAUAUUGCAAGCAUGAACAUAGUUUCGAAUCACCCCCUAACUAAGAGGGGUUUAGUUCCUCAUACUCACAAAGCAAAGAUGCAUAAAUUUAGACAUUAAUAACAAAGAUAGAAAACACCUAGAAACGCUCCAACACUCCCAAGGCUUGGGCUUAGGCACGUCACCAGGUUUCUUCUUCUUUCUCUUUCCUUGCAAGCUGCGGCACUAGAGGUUUUGGACAGGUUUUGGGUGGUUUUUAUGGUGUAGAAUGGUAUGGAAAUGUUUAGGGUUGAUGGGUGGUGUGGCUAGGGGUGAUUUUUGGCUGAAUUUGGAGAGAAUGGUGGUGGAAAACUCACGGCAAGGAGAAAGGAUAAAAUCUGUUAUGGUUGAUGAAUAUGGGAGGUGGUAUUUAUAGGUUUGAGAGAUGACCACUCCAUUUCCUUUGCAUGUGCAGCUUGUGUGGGUGUGAGUUGUCAUGUUUCCCCUUUACAUUUACAUACACAUGCUUCAUCAUUUCAAUCACCAAACAUCCACAUUUCUGCCCAUGCCAUGUGCUCCAUGUGUAUGCUUUCUUUGCCAUGUGUUUGCUGCCAUGUUCUUUGCUUUGCCAUUACACUUGCACACACACAUGCUUCAUCAUUUCCACCACCAAACACCCACAAUUUCUGCCCAUGUCGUGUGCUCCCAUGUGUGUGCUGCAACAUAUUUUUCUUUGUCAUGUGUUUGCUGCAACAAGGGGUUUAUUUAAAGGGAUAAAGGAAAUAAAACCCUAGGUUAACUAGGUAAACAGAAAUUAAGUCUAAGGCUUCUACAAUUUAGGGAAACAAAUCAGAAAUUUAAAGGAAAUAAGCUAAAAGGUGUGGCAAGGCUUUAAAGUAGAUUAGGAAAGUGUUUAAAUGCAAGAUUUAGGAAAGAAUGACUCUUCCUUGCACGGCAAGGAAGAGUAAUGGCAAGGGUGAAGCACACGGCUGGUUGCUUAUUUUUGAACACUUCGUUCUUUAUUUGUCUUGAAUCCAAUUCUUCACAUCAUCAUUCAAUCCUAUGCUCAUUUGAUCUUCAAUUUCGUCCAUCUUCUUACCUCCAAGCAUAUGCAAUCCAUUUGAUGCACAAAAACUGCUCCAAACGACUCCAAAAUGCACAUGUAUGCAUACUUUGUCCUUAAAACCUGAAAACACAUAAAAGUGACUUUAAACACUAAAAUAACUAAAGAAACACAACGUAAACGUACGAGAACAAGUCAAUUAAGUCGCAUAAAAAUGCUCCUAUCACUUCACUUUCAAUUAAUACGAAGGCCGAUUGUGAUAAACCCUGUGCUUGUUGAAUAUGCAGGUUGUAAUUAACAAGGUGAAGAUAAUAUUGUUGGAUAGUGGCCAAAUUAGUGGCCAAGUGACCAAAAGCAUAUAAUAAAAAAUGAAGGACAUAACGAUGUGGGAACAUCAUUAUGAGGAGAAAAAUGGUUAUGUUUGUUGAAAAGAAAAAGGAAGGUCAUGAUGAUGUUUGUAAAGGAAUGAUUAUUCCUUUACUUUGGAUUUUUUAUUGGGUGCUUUUGUAUGGAUGAAGGUUGUAGCCGAAUGAGUGAGAGAAGGUAGAGUCUUUUGGUUAUAUUAAGGCAUUCGAUUAUGCCUUUGGUUGAGUGGGGGGAGCGGCAUAAGAUGAGAGCCAUACCAGGGAGAACAUUCGGCUCUCCCAUUUGAAAUAGUGUUGCUCCUUCCCAUUUGUUUGUAAUCUCCUCUUGUUAGUAAUCCCUCAAUCAAAAAUAUUGCUGCUACAUGUUGUGUAGCUUUUGGGAGAGAUGGUAUUUGAUGUGUGUCCAUCUUCUCCAAUUGUUCUUUGUGAGAGCGAGAGCUAUUGGGUGUAUGUGGGAUUUGGGUUUGAGAGUUAAAACUCUAUUUGUAAUCUCCUUUUGAUAUUAGUGGAAUUUCUUCACCUUCUCGGAACUGAACGUAGGCUUACGCCGAACCAGUAUAAAUCCUUGUGUCAUUUGGAUUAUUUGUCUUAUCAUAUUUUGCCGUUGUAGCUUAUUGGUUUCAUAUUUGACGCUUCCGCACAAUAAGUGGUAUCAGAGCUCCGGAUUUCGACUUAGGGGUUUUGUACCAGUAUGUAUAUGAAACCUUCGAAUAUGUUGGUGAAAUAUGAUAUUGAAAAUUUUGACGGGAGUAAUGACUUUGGCAUUUGGUCAAUUGGAGAUACAAGUUUUGCUUGCAUUGCUGCGAAAUGCGUGGCGUUGAAGAAGGAUGGUAAGGGACCAUGUUGCAGUCCCUGAGCCCAUAGAUUGGAGAAUGGUUCCGGAAAUAGUAUAUCUGCUGCAAUGUUAUUGAAGUGUUGAUGUUCGAAUGCUGCAGGUGUAGUGUACUGUUUUGGUAGAUUCUCCGUUGGUCAUCGCUGCACCGGCGGUGUUUGUGGGCUGUUGUCGACGAGUUGAGUGGGUAGGAGAAAAAGUAGAAGCUGUUGAGAAUUGAAAAGAAAAUGUUGGUUCCUUUUCUUUCGGCAUUUGUUUUGGCAGAAGGACAUCAUGAUGACAAAUGAUGUUGUUGGCUGAAAAAAAAAAAAAAAAAAAAAAAAAAAAAAAGGGUUAAGUUUUCUUCUCUUUGGCAUUUUUUCAAUGGCAGAGAAUUUUUUUUCUUCACUCCCACUAGUUGCCUUUGGAGCAAGUUAAUGGAAACAUUGGAGGAGUUUGUGAGGGCCAAUUUGUUGAGUUCUGCAAGUUUGGAUAGUAAGGCACCACACUAUUUUGAAUACACCCCAUGCACUGCAAAACAUUUGUGUGGAACCCUCUUGUAGAAGGCAAGUUAUAUGCUUUCUAACUUUGUUUGGUCUAUGGACAUUUAGUUGGAUUUGUUUGCCACUGCUAUUUGGUUUGUUGGUCUCUAGCAUCUGAAAUAUGCUUUGUUGAAGACUCUAGUUAAGGUAUGGCUUAGGAUCUCCUACUGAUUAUUUGAAGUUGAAAUAUUUGGUUAUCCUAUUAGUGCUCAUGCGAUGAUGGUAAACUUGAGUGAAGGGCAUAAUAUUGAUAUUCAUAGGAUCUGAAUUUGGGUAAAAGGUUUUGUAUGUGGUAUGUUAAACCUUGUUGCUAAAUUUUGUAAUCAAUUUUGACUUGGAGAAUGUGCCAUGCUACGUGAAUGAGUCUAUUGGUGCAAUUUAAGACCAUGGUGUUUGUGAGCAGGUGGAGUUCGUUGUGUGUCCAACUUUGGUAUGGUGUGCUUGAUCUUUUGUCGGUGAUAUUGAAGAAUUUCAGUUCUUUGUUUGAAUCACCUUUUUUUUAUCAAGGCACUUAUAGUUUGCAAAUUUGAAGAAGACGGUAGAGAAAUUGUCUACUUUUGUUGGCUUUGGUACAAUUUGAGUCGAGGUGGAGAUCAUAAUAGUACCGGAAAGUUUGGGGAAUUUGAUUUAGUUCCCAUUGUCUUUAGUUUGUACUUUGGGUGCUUAUGGUGAUUGUUGAUUCGAUUCUUUGUGAUGUUUUCGGAAUUUGGCCAAGGUGGAUAUUGUUGGAUAGUGGCCAAAAGCAUAUAAUAAAAAAUGAAGGACAUAAUGAUAUGGGAACAUCAUUAUGAGGAGAAAAAUGAUUAUGUUUGUUGAAAAGAAAAAGGAAGGUCAUGAUGAUGUUUGUAAAGGAAUGAUUAUUCUUUUACUUUGGAUUUUUUAUUGGGUGCUUUUGUAUGGAUGAAUGUUGCAGCCGAAUGAGUGAGAGAAGGUAGAGCCUUUUGGUUAUAUUAAGGCAUUCGAUUAUGCCGUUGGUUGAGUGGGGGGAGCGGCAUCAGAUGAGAGCCGUACCAAGGAGAGUGUUCGGCUCUCCCAUUUGAAAUAGUGCUGCUCCUUCCCAUUUGUUUGUAAUCUCCUCUUGUUAGUAAUCCCUCAAUCAAAGAUGUUGCUGCUACAUGUUGUGUAGCUUUUGGGAGAGAUGAUAUUUAAUGUGUGUCCAUCUUCUCCAAUUGUUCUUUGUGAGAGUGAGAGUUAUUGGGUGUAUGUGAGAUUUGAGUUUGAGAGUUAAAACUCUAUUUGUAAUCUCCUUUUGAUAUUAGUGGAAUUUCCUCGCCGUCUCGGAACUGAACGUACGCUUACGCCGAACCAGUAUAAAUCCUUGUGUCAUUUGGAUUAUUUAUCUUAUCAUAUUUUGCCGUUGUAGCUUAUUGGUUUCAUAUUUGACGCUUCCGCACAACAAAUAUUGGUGUUGUUAAAAGUGGAUCUUUCAUCGUCUAUCUAAUAAUUUGACAUGUGGAAGUGGCUCUGGACCUCCGGUAAGUACAAUCUGAUCUCCGUUUAAGUUAAAAGUAAAAACAAACUCGCGGGAAAAGCAGAGCGCCACUGCCGCGUGCUCCCGCCUGGGUUUACCGUUAUUAAAGGUUUUCCGAAGGGCUGUUCUGACUUUUCACCCAUUUAACGAUCACAGUUAUCUACGCCAUAAAUCCCGAGUUGCGUCCCUCAAGAGCUUUCCUCCCAGAACUGACCACUGCAUGAAAAUUCUGAAUAGAUGAGGUGGAGUCUCACACGUCUGUGCCACCAUCAGCCCGUACAACCAUCCAUGUCCGCCCACGUGUCGCGACAAUCGGAUAACUCCAUACCUGCCACGUUAUCAUCACCUCCACCUGCAAGUCCACUGUCAGUCACUGCUAUAUGACCGCAUCUCAUUCACCCCCAGCCACCGCAACGGCAAUACGCAGCACCAUGGGCCAGGAAAACGACACCCACUUCAACCUCGUUGGGUUCUCCAACUUCGUCCGGACGAACCCCCGGUCCGACCGGUUCAGGGUCCACCGGUUCCACCACGUCGAGUUCUGGUGCACCGACGCCACCAACGCCGCCCUCCGAUUCUCCUGGGGACUCGGCAUGCCCAUGGUAGCUAAGUCCGACCUCUCCACCGGCAAUCAAACCCAUGCCUCCUACCUUCUCCGCUCCGGCGACCUCAAUUUCCUCUUCACCGCCCCGUACUCCCCCACCCUGACCCGAACCGCCGACCCGGCCCGGCCCAGCAACUCCAGCGCCUCCAUCCCCACCUUCGACCACACCGCCUCCCGCGCCUUCUCUGCCACCCACGGCCUCGGCGUCCGCGCCGUCGCCAUCCAAGUCGAAGACGCCGUCUCCGCCUUCACCACCAGCGUCGCCCACGGCGCCAAACCCUCGGCCGCCCCCAUCCUCCUCGACAACCGCGUCACCAUCGCGGAAGUCCAACUCUACGGCGACGUUGUUUUGCGGUACGUCAGCUACUCGGACCACAACCACCUCACAGAUCCGGACCCCAACCUCUGGUUCCUCCCCGGAUUCGAACCCCUACCGUCGUCGUUUCCAAUCGACUUCGGAAUCCGCCGCCUCGACCACGCCGUCGGCAAC